This 40-nucleotide transfer RNA is filed under the name Elachistocleis ovalis (common oval frog). RNAcentral describes it as "partial tRNA-Phe". The record is from RNAcentral. Lineage: Eukaryota; Metazoa; Chordata; Amphibia; Anura; Microhylidae.
CUGAAGAUGCUGAGAUGGGCCCUAAAAAGUCCUGCAAGCA